GACGAACGCUGGCGGCAGGCCUAACACAUGCAAGUCGAGCGGCAGCGCGUCCGACCACCCUCGGGUGGUCGGAUGGCGGCGAGCGGCGGACGGGUGAGGAAUGCAUCGGAAUCUGCCUCGUUGUGGGGGAUAACGUAGGGAAACUUACGCUAAUACCGCAUACGACCUACGGGUGAAAGUGGGGGACCUUCGGGCCUCACGCGAUGAGAUGAGCCGAUGCCGGAUUAGCUAGUUGGCGGGGUAAAGGCCCACCAAGGCGACGAUCCGUAGCUGGUCUGAGAGGAUGAUCAGCCACACUGGAACUGAGACACGGUCCAGACUCCUACGGGAGGCAGCAGUGGGGAAUAUUGGACAAUGGGGGCAACCCUGAUCCAGCCAUGCCGCGUGUGUGAAGAAGGCCUCGGUUGUAAG
This 411-nucleotide ribosomal RNA is filed under the name uncultured bacterium. RNAcentral's name for it is "bacterial SSU rRNA". It matches the Rfam family "Bacterial small subunit ribosomal RNA", at positions 28 to 429 of the family's 1533-position model. The record is from RNAcentral.